GGGCCCGCACAAGCAGUGGAUUAUGUGGUUUAAUUCAACGCAACGCGAAGAACCUUACCAGGUCUUGACAUCCAGGGAAGGCGGCAGAGAUGCUGCCGUGCCCUUCGGGGAACCCUGAGACAGGUGGUGCAUGGUUGUCGUCAGCUCGUGUCGUGAGAUGUUGGGUUAAGUCCCGCAACGAGCGCAACCCCUGCCAUUAGUUGCUACGCAAGAGCACUCUAAUGGGACCGCUACCGACAAGGUGGAGGAAGGUGGGGACGACGUCAAAUCAUCAUGCCCCUUAUGACCUGGGCUACACACGUAAUACAAUGGCCGUUAACAACGGGAAGCGAAGGCGCGAGCCGGAGCAAAACCCCAAAAACGGUCUCAGUUCGGAUCGUAGGCUGCAACCCGCCUACGUGAAGUUGGAAUUGCUAGUAAUCGCGGAUCAGCAUGCCG
Molecule: ribosomal RNA, 438 nt
Filed under: uncultured Bacillota bacterium
Lineage: Bacteria; Bacillati; Bacillota
Description: bacterial SSU rRNA
Rfam family: Bacterial small subunit ribosomal RNA
Source: RNAcentral